CUGUCCAAGAUAAGCAUGCACGUCUAGUACAAACUAAAUGAUGGUGAACUGCAAAUGGCUCAUUACAACGGUUAUGAUGUACCCGGGAGUUCCGAUGGAUAUUUCCAGUAACACUAGAACUAAUACAUGUCCCUGCGUUUAUUAGUUUCGCACAGUCCGUCGCUGAGUCAUGGUAAACAGUUGAUCGACUCGACGUCCCGGAACAGUUUCCGCCCCAUCAGCUUCGAUGGUUGGGUAUUGGCCUACCAUUGCAACAACGGGUAACGAGGAAUUAGGGUUUGAUUUCGGAGAGGGAGCCUGAGAAACGGCUACCACAUCUACGGAUGGCAGCAGGCGCGCAAAUUACCCAAUGCAGACACUGUGAGGUAGUGACGAGAAAUAAUAAAGCGGGACUUCUGUUUCGCUAUUAUAAUGAGGAAUAACCAAAGGUCAUUCCGAUUAGCAACUGAUGGGAAAGUCUGGUGCCAGCAGCCGCGGUAAUACCAGCGUCAGUAGCAUAU
RNAcentral lists this ribosomal RNA (500 nucleotides) under uncultured Myrionecta. RNAcentral's name for it is "SSU rRNA". It matches the Rfam family "Eukaryotic small subunit ribosomal RNA", at positions 34 to 602 of the family's 1831-position model. Lineage: Eukaryota; Ciliophora; Litostomatea; Cyclotrichida; Mesodiniidae. The record is from RNAcentral.